Molecule: ribosomal RNA, 441 nt
Filed under: uncultured bacterium
Lineage: Bacteria
Description: partial 16S ribosomal RNA
Rfam family: Bacterial small subunit ribosomal RNA
Source: RNAcentral
CCUACGGGUGGCAGCAGUGGGGGAUAUUGCACAAUGGGGGGAACCCUGAUGCAGCGACGCCGCGUGGGUGAAGGAGCGUUUCGGCGCGUAAAGCCCUAUCGGCAGGGAAGAAGGAGGACGGUACCUGACUAAGACGCCCCGGCUAACGACGUGCCAGCAGCCGCGGUAAUACGUAGGGGGCAGGCUGUAUCCGGAUUUACUGGGUGUAAAGGGGGGGCAGACGGCAGCGCAAGCCAGGGGGGAAAGCACGGUGCCCAAACCCGGGACUGCGCUUGGAACUGCGCGGCUUGAGUGCAGGAGGGGCAGGCGGAAUUCCUGGUGUAGCGGGGAAAUGCGUAGAUAUCAGGAGGAACACCGGUGGCGAAGGCGGCCUGCUGGACUGCGACUGACGUUGAGGCCCGAAAGCGUGGGGAGCAAACAGGAUUAGAUACCCGAGUAGUC